RNAcentral lists this ribosomal RNA (348 nucleotides) under Triticum aestivum (bread wheat). RNAcentral describes it as "partial small subunit ribosomal RNA". The record is from RNAcentral. Lineage: Eukaryota; Viridiplantae; Streptophyta; Magnoliopsida; Poales; Poaceae.
AUGGCGUCGGAGAUGCUGCUCAGGAGGAUCCAUUCCAUCUGCCGUCUCGCCCCCGGCGACCGCCAGUCGCAGCUGUUCGGACGCGGGGAGGGGCUCCGCCGUCUGGUUCCUACGGCGAGCCAUCCAUCGUUCUGCAGCAGCGUGUGUGAGCAAGCCGGCGCGGGCAGCGCAAGCAAGGAUCAAGAUAACCUCGCUAGGUUUUCAGACCCACAGGUUGCUCACGAGGAUCGCCGGUUCGUUCAGUUCUUGGAUAGGAUGCUGGACGCGACGAGAAAUCCCCAGAGUCUUGCGCAGAUACGGCGCGAGAAGCUUCCAAAUGAUGUGAAAAUAUUGGAUGAUGAGAUAUGA